This 85-nucleotide transfer RNA is filed under the name Felis catus (domestic cat). It matches the Rfam family "tRNA". Rfam says of the family: Transfer RNA (tRNA) molecules are approximately 80 nucleotides in length. Their secondary structure includes four short double-helical elements and three loops (D, anti-codon, and T loops). RNAcentral also lists the same sequence under 1 other name. Lineage: Eukaryota; Metazoa; Chordata; Mammalia; Carnivora; Felidae. The record is from Rfam by way of RNAcentral.
GCCUGGGGGGCUCAGUCGGUUGAGCGUCUGACUUUGGCUCAGGUCACGAUCUCAAGGUUCGUGGGUUCAAGCCCCGCGUCGGGCU